GGGUAGGUACGCGAAGUGGUCAAACGCAGCUGACUGUAAAUCAGCCGACUUUAUGUCUUCGGAGGUUCGAAUCCUUCCCUACCCA
This 85-nucleotide transfer RNA is filed under the name Candidatus Thermochlorobacter aerophilus. Its description in RNAcentral is "Candidatus Thermochlorobacter aerophilum tRNA-Tyr". It matches the Rfam family "tRNA". Rfam says of the family: Transfer RNA (tRNA) molecules are approximately 80 nucleotides in length. Their secondary structure includes four short double-helical elements and three loops (D, anti-codon, and T loops). Further hydrogen bonds mediate the characteristic L-shaped molecular structure. tRNAs have two regions of fundamental functional importance: the anti-codon, which is responsible for specific mRNA codon recognition, and the 3' end, to which the tRNAs corresponding amino acid is attached (by aminoacyl-tRNA synthetases). tRNAs cope with the degeneracy of the genetic code in two manners: having more than one tRNA (with a specific anti-codon) for a particular amino acid; and 'wobble' base-pairing, i.e. permitting non-standard base-pairing at the 3rd anti-codon position. The record is from RNAcentral. Lineage: Bacteria; Pseudomonadati; Chlorobiota; Chlorobiia; Chlorobiales; Candidatus Thermochlorobacteriaceae.